RNAcentral lists this ribosomal RNA (274 nucleotides) under uncultured bacterium. Its description in RNAcentral is "partial 16S ribosomal RNA". It matches the Rfam family "Archaeal small subunit ribosomal RNA", at positions 473 to 747 of the family's 1478-position model. The record is from RNAcentral.
AAACCAGCACCUCAAGUGGUCAGGAUGAUUAUUGGGCCUAAAGCAUCCGUAGCCGGCUCUGUAAGUUUUCGGUUAAAUCUGUACGCUUAACGUACAGGCCGCCGGGAAUACUGCAGAGCUAGGGAGUGGGAGAGGUAGACGGUACUCGGGAGGAAGUGGUAAAAUGCUUUGAUCUCUCGAUGACCACCUGUGGCGGAGGCGGUCUACCAGAACACGUCCGACGGUGAGGGAUGAAAGCUGGGGGAGCAAACCGGAUUAGAAACCCGAGUAGUCC